This is a long non-coding RNA of Acipenser ruthenus (sterlet), 556 nucleotides long. RefSeq lists it as uncharacterized. NCBI's taxonomy places the organism in Eukaryota, Metazoa, Chordata, Actinopteri, Acipenseriformes, Acipenseridae. The record is from RefSeq and is a predicted model, not a curated record. The transcript has 3 exons.
GUGGGACCGCGGGAACCAGGAAGUGUUAAUUGUUGGCAGUAUAAAUAUCGGCACCAUAAGGGUGCAAGAGAACCAGGUAGUCGAUGUGCAGCUGUGUUUUGGUGUUCCUGUGUUCCCGUGGUUCCCCCUGUGACGAGGGCGAGUCGGCGGAUAUUCUUUUGGACGUCAGUAUUCCGGACUCUCCCGAGGUGGUGGUUGACUGCCCUUCUGGGCUUUGGUGGGUGGAGCAGCCAAAUAUUUAUUAAUUGGAUGGACGUUUCUCUAUCUCUCCUCUAGGUGUCGCUGGGGACAAUAAAUAAGCAAUUAUUCUAUUGUGCAAGAUAUAUGGUUAGGAUUGUGUGUAAUUGCACUGCAGCAAUUGUGGGUUUUAGUGUUGUUGUUGAUAAUAAAGAUUUUGUUGGCACAACCAAUUUCCAUUCUUUUGUCUUUUCAUUUAUUUGAGAGGGGCUCUGUGUGGGGUACCCAAAUAUUGCUGCUAGAUUAAUAAGGUUAUGUGAGGUUCUAUUUCUCGUUAAACUAUAGAUGGCGUAGUCUGCAUCGCGACCUGUACAGUUAA